CAAUAAUUAUUUGUCAUGGGUGUUUGAUUCGAAAUCCACUUGAAUGCUAUGAAUCUUGAAGAGACUAUUAAAGAAGGAAAUACGACAUCAAGUCAAGACAAAAUAAAAUGUGAUGCCCCAAAGUUUUAAAAAAGAAAAAAAAAAUAGUUGGUUAAUUUGGGAAAAGGAAGAUGAAAGUAGGGUUAUAAAAAUUGGGGCCUCAGGCAACGUGCAAAGAAAAAAAAAGAUUUCUUUUUCUUUUUUCUUCUUCUUCCUCCUCCUCUAGCCGCAUGCCCGCUUCCCCCUCCCCCCCCUUCUUUUCUAGUUACCGAUCGAGCCUUCUUCUCUGUGCCGUCGCUCGUCAUCAACUAAGUCCCUUCGCCGAUCUUCGUUUCCAUCGUCGACCGCGAGCCACCGAGCUUUCUUCACAAAUCCGUCGUCAGCCGCGCGAGUUCGCCGAUUAUGCUUCUUCUUCGCGAGCUUGUCCGUCCCCCAACACAAACGAAGCCGCCGAACGCUGAAGCAGCGAGUCGCGUCGUUUCCAGCCGUGUUGUCUUCUCCGUCCGCCUGUCACUGGUUUGGGUCGUCGUGGAUCGCGGUGGUUCUGACCGUUCUACUGUUCAGGGAACAUGUGGUGGUGAAGGAAGUUCUCGAGCGGUGUAAGGUCUCAUUUUGGGACAGUUCGUUAGCCUGAGGUAAGAGUAAUGACAGACUGGUGCAUGACAAGAGAGAUCUGUGACCUGGCCAUUAAGACGAUUCACUGCUUCCACAUAUAGUAUCAUAUUUUGAAAUCUGGUUUAGGAGUUAGGCGUCUUGCACUUUUAUGCAAAAUAUAUCAAUUUUAUUAUUUGACUAUUUAAUUUCAUUCAUUUGUUUUUAGUAGGG
Non-coding RNA from Benincasa hispida (wax gourd), 864 nucleotides. NCBI's taxonomy places the organism in Eukaryota, Viridiplantae, Streptophyta, Magnoliopsida, Cucurbitales, Cucurbitaceae. The record is from RefSeq and is a predicted model, not a curated record.